CAGGGAUGAGGCCAUUUUUAAUUUUUCUUCAACAGUGGAGAAAUUUAAGGCCCACAAGACCCGGUUCAGAACUGACUAGGAUGUCUUAGAAUUCCUGAAGCUACCAGCAAGGGAAAAGAAUCCUCCCAGUUCUCCAUUCUGAGUUCCAGGGCUCUUUGUAGGGCAUGGAGUCAGUGGAGGUGGUCUUAGGCCAUUUGAGCUGCAGCCCAGCUGUGAAGGCCUUCAGGACAGGGAAUGUGUUUCUCAGUCUUUCCCAUUCCCCCCCCAACCCCAACACAUCUAAGCACCCUGUCUGGCAAAGAGAAGGCAGGCCCUCGGUGGAUGUUUGCUGACCUGGAACCAAGAUUAGCGAGCUUUUCUGACUUCUGGCCUAGGGCAUUUCUAUCUACUACCUGGGACUUAACGAAAGCCAGGACUCUAAGUUUCCUCAGUGAUAUAGGAUCAGAUAUGUCAGCUGGAGGGGUCUUCCAGAGGUCAUUUCUCCAUCCGCCGUCCACACCGACAGCGCCUGCAUCGGGCAAGGCCCG
This 527-nucleotide long non-coding RNA is filed under the name Vulpes vulpes (red fox). RNAcentral describes it as "lncRNA (ENSVVUG00000007571.1)". Lineage: Eukaryota; Metazoa; Chordata; Mammalia; Carnivora; Canidae. The record is from RNAcentral.